GUGGGGAAUAUUGGACAAUGGGCGAAAGCCUGAUCCAGCCAUGCCGCGUGUGUGAAGAAGGUCUUCGGAUUGUAAAGCACUUUAAGUUGGGAGGAAGGGCAGUAAGUUAAUACCUUGCUGUUUUGACGUUACCGACAGAAUAAGCACCGGCUAACUUCGUGCCAGCAGCCGCGGUAAUACGAAGGGUGCAAGCGUUAAUCGGAAUUACUGGGCGUAAAGCGCGCGUAGGUGGUUUUGUAAGUUGGAGGUGAAAUCCACGGGCUCAACCUGGGAACUGCCUCCAAAACUGCAUGACUAGAGGACGGUAGAGGGUAGUGGAAUUUCCUGUGUAGCGGUGAAAUGCGUAGAUAUAGGAAGGAACACCAGUGGCGAAGGCGACUACCUGGACUGAUACUGACACUGAGGUGCGAAAGCGUGGGGAGCAAACAGGAUUAGAAACCCCAGUAGUCC
This 450-nucleotide ribosomal RNA is filed under the name uncultured bacterium. RNAcentral's name for it is "bacterial SSU rRNA". It matches the Rfam family "Bacterial small subunit ribosomal RNA", at positions 354 to 796 of the family's 1533-position model. The record is from RNAcentral.